Molecule: ribosomal RNA, 301 nt
Filed under: uncultured bacterium
Lineage: Bacteria
Description: partial 16S ribosomal RNA
Rfam family: Bacterial small subunit ribosomal RNA
Source: RNAcentral
CAGCAGCCGCGGUAAUACGUAGGUGGCGAGCGUUGUCCGGAAUUAUUGGGCGUAAAGGGAGCGCAGGCGGGCGAGUAAGUCUUUCUUAAAAGUGCGGGGCUCAACCCCGUGAGGGGAGAGAAACUACUCAUCUUGAGUGCAGGAGAGGAAAGCGGAAUUCCUAGUGUAGCGGUGAAAUGCGUAGAUAUUAGGAAGAACACCAGUGGCGAAGGCGGCUUUCUGGACUGUAACUGACGCUGAGGCUCGAAAGCCAGGGGAGCGAACGGGAUUAGAGACCCGCGUAGUCCCUGUCUCUUAUACA